Molecule: unclassified non-coding RNA, 463 nt
Filed under: Bombus terrestris (buff-tailed bumblebee)
Lineage: Eukaryota; Metazoa; Arthropoda; Insecta; Hymenoptera; Apidae
Description: misc RNA ENSBTSG00005036869.1
Source: RNAcentral
UCGUUACGGAGUUAAUGCUACAGUUUGCCGCUGGUAGACUUCCAGCGAAUAAAAGAAGAUGGAAGAAGAUGAAGUGGCAAAGAUAGCGAUUGCGUAACGUAAAACAACUGACGCGAAGUCGAUCAGUCGGCCGCCACAGCCGUACAAAACCAGAUCGUAACUCCUACUUUUGAAGCUUCACCGGUGAAACUUCGUUUCUACAGUUACCUCGUCUGCUUGGCCGUUCCUUCGAUGGUGCGAUAGGGGAUGGUCACACGUCCCCUGGCACCGCUGUAUCUCACCACUCGCAAAGCAAACUGACCAACGCUUUCCACCAGCUCGAUGUCUCUUUCGGGGAAGCCGAACACGCCGCUGUGAUCGUCGUCGAGGAUCAUCACGGUCGCCAAGCUAGGUGACACCAGCAUGGCAGGCUGCGACGCGUUGCUCAACCUGUAACAUCAUCGUCAUCGCUGUUAGCGUCUUA